Amaranthus tricolor (Joseph's coat) is the source of this 2034-nucleotide RNA transcript. It is a transcript of the gene named probable methyltransferase At1g29790, with no coding region annotated. The record is from RefSeq and is a predicted model, not a curated record. The transcript has 2 exons. NCBI's taxonomy places the organism in Eukaryota, Viridiplantae, Streptophyta, Magnoliopsida, Caryophyllales, Amaranthaceae.
AUAUUUGAUAAAUUUAGGCAUUGAAUGUUUAUUAGAGAAAAAGUAGAUCCAUAAGCCAAGAGCCAACAUAAAAGGCUAACUGGAAUAGCUUUUUGAUUUUGGCUUAAAAACCGUUUACCAAACACUUUUAUUAGCUAUUUAACCAACCUACACGCAAAAGUCAAAAGCCAACUAAAAGCUAAUGUAAAAACAAACUACCAAACAACCCCCUAAAAAGUCCCUCCAUUAAUUUCCUCCACUCUACACUCCAAUCAUUCCUCAGCCCUCAAUUCUCAGUCCCAAGAUCCAACUGCUACUUGGCAGACCUCACUGUCCCCUAGGACUUCCAACCACCAUUGAUAAACACCCAAAAGCACACAAUUCAAUGGCAAUGUCCUUCACAAUGGGUCUAAAUUUCCUCCUCUUGGUAGCCAUGGUUGCUACAAACCUCCUUUCAUUUUACCAUCUUUCAUCAACUUCUUCCUUCUUCCAUCUUUCUACACCUCCUCAACAAUCUUCCACUGUUCCUCAUUACCUUAUCCGUCAACUUCAAACCAUACGCGCCACCAUUAACCACCUCACGCGCUUCCAACCUUCUCACUCGCCUCCAUCUUCAAACUCCAUUAAAACCCCACCUUCAGACCUUCUUAUUUACUCUAACCUUUCCCCUAUUGCUUCUUCUUGCCAUGAUUACCCUGAUCUUCUUCAUCAAUACAUGAAUUAUACCCCCUUUUCACUUUGUCCUAAAGAUACCCUUCUAGCUGAAUCUUUGAUUCUUCGUGGGUGUCAUCCUUUGCCACGACGUCGUUGUUUCUCGAGAACCCCAUCUAACCCUAGAUUGUCUUCCCCUGAUUCUAAUGUUAUUUGGAGUUCUUAUACUUCUGCUACGUGUAAGAGCUUUAAAUGUUUGAAUCCGAAACUGGGUUUUGACCAAAAUCUUGUUUACGAUCAGUUUUUGGGUUAUAAAUCUGAAAUUGAUCUCACUAUUCCUCAGCUUUUGGAUAUUGCUAAAAGGGCUAAUUCUGUUAUUCGUUUAGGGGUUGAUAUUGGGGGUGGAACUGGGGUUUUUGCUGCUAGGAUGAAGGAGAGAAAUGUGACUGUUUUGACUACUACUAUGAACUUAGGUGCUCCUUAUAGCGAGUAUAACGCGCUUAGAGGUUUGUUGACAUUACAUGCACCACUGCAGCAAAGAUUGCCGUUUUUUGAUGGGGUUGUGGACUUGGUUCGAUGUGGGCAUGCCGUAAAUAGGUGGAUUCCGACGACGGUGAUGGACUUUCUAUUGUUUGAUGUGGAUAGAGUGUUGAGAGGUGGUGGGUUUUUGUGGGUUGAUCAUUUUUUCAGUAAAGGGGCAGAUUUAGAUAAGGUCUAUAAACCAUUGAUUGAUAAAUUGGGGUAUAAGAUUGUGAAAUGGGCAACUGGGAGUAAGAUGGAUUCUAGUGGGAUGAAAAAUGGGGAGGUAUAUUUGACUGCAUUGUUGCAGAAGCCAAAGUCCAGAUGAUUAGAGGAAAAGAGAAAAGUUGAUAUUUCUUCUUAUGUACUCCUAAGUGGUAAGAAAAAGGUGUAUGUAUCCAAAGUUGAAGAUUCAGUCUAUUACACGAGUCCUCCGGUGUAGUGCCGCUGUUCAAGUUCAUCUUCGACUGUGGACAUCAAUUGUUGGAAACUCCUUCCUCCAGUGCUGUAAGUAAACUCCCAAGUAUGAUUGUAGAUGUCCAAGAAAGAAGCAUUCCACCAAGGAGGCACAUAAUGUAUGCGCAACUGCCCAAGCAGGAUACGACAAAUCGACAAUGUGUAUUCGUUGUUCUCCUCUUAUUAUUCAUAUUUAGUUCAGGGUAUUGAGGUAUUCCUACUAAGGUUAAUAAUAAAUAGAAGUACUAUAGGAUAGUAGUAUUUGGUUAUGGAGCUUCUUUGAUUUGAUAGUUUGUGUGAAAAAAUGUCAUAGUGAUAAACCUAAAGAGUUCGUUGUAUUGUUGCCAAGAUACAAGUAUUAAAGGAGAAAAGGCCAGCUUGCAGCUACUUAUUGAAAAGGCCAAUCAGAAUUUUAUCCUUGAACCAGUA